CCAGUGUGUAUCUCUCACAUUCAUGAGCCGCACAAAACUGUAAUUAGGCGAAAGAGACAUUACAUACAGGAUUCUUCCUGGGAAGCUAAGAAGAAGAACCUCCCCCAACAUGGUUCCUUUUCCUGUGAAAGAUGCCACUGAUAUUAGGCAAGAGAACUUUCUCUGAAACUGACACCUUCCCUUUUUCUAACUUCUUCAUCUCCACCUUGUCUGCAUUUGAAUCCUAUAGUGCUGAGGAGAUAGUUCUGGGGACAUCAGUGUUUCAGCCAAUAUUCGAGAUGCAGCUUCUGCUGCUUUCUUCUGCUCUUGUUCGCGCCACUUUCUGAGCUCACCCUCCACCGUCCUCUUUGCUGCUUCAGCCCUUUACAACGCUGCUUGUGUUUCAGUCUUCAUAUCCUCAAUUUCCUUUUGAGUUUCCUCUAACCUUUUUAGAAAUUCAUUUUCACUAGCCUUUGCAACUUCAACCUGUGCUGUGGCAGCAGCCACUUUUAUGUCUGCUAAUUUAUCAGACUCCUCAACCUUUUUAACUAAGGUUUCAAACUCCUCUCGUGAGAUUGUAAUUCUUGCACCAGGUUCAGAAGUUGAUGAAUGAGAAGGACUAGUCCUCAUAGAUAAAACCUUAAUCUGAUCAAGAGCACUUGCCUCUGCUGCUUUAGCAGCUUCCACUUCUUCCAACACUCCUUUAAGCUUUGUUUCUGCAUCUUCUAACACAAGUUUAGUGACUGCAUCUUCCAUCUUCAAUUCUGCUGCCUCACUCUUCAUAUCUUCUGUUUCCCUUUUUGCAUUUUCAGUUUCAGACAACAACUGUUUUAAUGUCAAGAUCAUUUCCUCUGAUGCAACUCUAGCUUCGAGUUCAGACUUGCUUUUCCGGAGCUCUACCCUCUGAUUCUCAACAACAGAUUCAGUUUUAGAUUCUUUCUCCUUCAAUUCAGAGUGCUCUCUUUUUACAUUCUCCAGCUCCAUCCUAAGAGCUUCCACCAUGCAUCUAAGGAUGGCUGCACUUCAAGAUUUUUGGUAAGCUCUGGAUUGAAUUCCUUCUUUAAAUCAAGCAACUUCUUUUUUGAUUCUUCAAGGAUGGCUUCAUAUGAUUGUCUUAGAACUUUUUGCUUGGCUAAUGUCUCUUCUUGCAGUUGAUGUGCUUGGACAAAUUCAGCAUUCGUUUUCUCAACUGAUUCCUGUACAGCCAAAAUUUCUUUAGAUAGCUCACAUGCUCUUUUGGUGUUUGCCUUCAUUGCAUCUUCAGCUUCUGCUGCUUGCUUGAGAGCAGAAACUCUUGCUUCCGAGGAUAAAUCAUACCCCUGACGAAUUUUACUCAGUUCUUUCUUUGCAACAUCAAGUUCUGUAAUGACAGAAGCAUAAUUAUUAACGGCAGUUUCUAACUCUUCUUUCCAAGCACCAUUGGUUCCACCAGGAUCACCACAUUUUUCUUCUUUAAGCUGUUUUGCUUGAUUUUUUGAAGCUUCUGUUGCCUGAAUAGCUGAUUCUCUGGAUUCACCGAGAACUUUAAGCUUUUGUGAGAGAUCCUCAACCACUCUUUUAGCCUUUUCAAGCUCCACCAGGACUUGAGCCUUGGUAGUUUCUGCAUUCUUUAGUUGUUCCUUUAAUUUUUUCAGGUCUUUCUGGGCUAAGUGAAGUUGUCUCUCCUUUGCUCAAACAUUCUAAUGAAAUAACAAAC
Molecule: long non-coding RNA, 1675 nt
Filed under: Glycine max (soybean)
Lineage: Eukaryota; Viridiplantae; Streptophyta; Magnoliopsida; Fabales; Fabaceae
Description: long non-coding RNA (GMAX_LNC003081)
Source: RNAcentral